UACGUAGGGGGCAAGCGUUAUCCGGAUUUAUUGGGCGUAAAGAGCUCGCAGGCGGCCGAUCACGUCGGAUGUGAAAGCUUGGGGCUUAACCCUGAGACGCCAUUUGAUACGGAUGGGCUAGAGGUAGGUAGGGGAAAGUGGAAUUCCUGGUGUAGCGGUGAAAUGCGUAGAUAUUAGGAGGAACACCGGUGGCGAAGGCGGCUUUCUGGGCCUUACCUGACGCUGAGGAGCGAAAGCUGGGGGAGCAAACAGG
This 253-nucleotide unclassified non-coding RNA is filed under the name uncultured Actinomycetes bacterium. Its description in RNAcentral is "uncultured actinobacterium contains 16S-23S intergenic spacer region". It matches the Rfam family "Bacterial small subunit ribosomal RNA", at positions 524 to 776 of the family's 1533-position model. Lineage: Bacteria; Bacillati; Actinomycetota; Actinomycetes. The record is from RNAcentral.